Molecule: RNA transcript, 8010 nt
Organism: Columba livia (rock pigeon)
Lineage: Eukaryota; Metazoa; Chordata; Aves; Columbiformes; Columbidae
Gene: ARHGAP39
Gene name: Rho GTPase activating protein 39
Exons: 12
Source: RefSeq, a predicted model, not a curated record
GGGAGAGGGCAGAGCCGGCACCCACACGGCUCCGGAGGGGAGGGAUCUGUGCCAGGCCCUCUGGAGACACCCUGCCCACUCCAUCUCCUCGCCGGGACAUGCGACGACUUGUUUCCCAGCCCGUCUCCAAAACGCCCCAAAUUAGACCCUUCGGGUGGAUGCGUCGUCAAGCCAAAGGACGAAGAAGGUGGCCCUGAAGACCCGUGUCCUGCUCAGCCCGGAGGGAUGCUGCGAGAUGGCAGAUGAAGACAUGACGGGACGUCUCGGUGGAAGGAGGCUGGAAUGGGUGGAAAUCAUCGAGCCACGAACCCGGGAGCGCAUGUACGCCAACCUCAUCACGGGGGAGUGCGUGUGGGACCCCCCCGCCGGGGUGCGGAUCAAACGCACCAAUGAGAACCAGUGGUGGGAGCUCUUCGACCCCAACACCUCCCGCUUCUACUACUACAAUGCCACCACGCAGAGGACGGUGUGGCACCGGCCGCAGAACUGCGAUAUCAUCCCCCUGGCCAAGCUGCAGACCCUGAAGCAGAACACAGAAUCACCCAGGGCUUCCACGGAGAACAGCCCCGGGAGGAGCAGCAAUGUCAGCAGGGAGGGCAGCACCAGCUCCUCGCUGGAACAGGAGCUGGAGGGCAGCGAGAAGGCGCAGGAGCAGAGAUCGAGCCGUCCGUCCACCCAGUACACCGUGGUGAAAGAAGAAACAGAAAGUUCGUCGCCUUCCGGAGUGUUUGAGAAAGAAUAUGACAUUUAUCGGGAUUACAGUGCAGAAGGUCAACUCCUCCACUACAGGACGUCAUCCCUGCGAUGGAACGCCGGCACCAAGGAGCGGAUGCUGAUCAAGGUGACCGACCGCGAGCCCAGCUUCCUCAUGCACCAAGGCAACGGCUACGCGCCCGAAAACCAACCGGGCACCCGCUCGCGGCGACCCUCAGGGGGACAACAGUCGCCCAACCUCCAAACCUUCGCCCCUGACGCCGACAACUCCGUUUUCUUCCCCGAGAGGAAGCAGUCGCCCUUCUUGAAGAGGGCCGAGCACGUGGGGAGCUGCUCGCCGCUGCUCGGCCGGGGGGACUCCUUCUGCUCCCCGCUCCAAGCCCAGCACCGCAAGCACUCCAGUGAGUCGCAACCCUCCUCGCCCCGCUACGCCUACGAGCCCCCCCUCUAUGAGGAACCCCCCAUGGAGUACCAGGCUCCCAUCUACGACGAACCCCCCGUGGACAUGCAGUACGAAGCCAGCGGGAGCUACAAAGCUGGCUCGCCGCAGAAAUCGCCCAUCCGUAAACCUCACCCCUUCUUGCAGUCGCCCAAACAAGGCUCCAACUCGCCCUACCAGCAGUUGGUGCUCACCAAACAGAAAUGUCCCGACCGCUUCAUGAGCCUGGAGUACAGCCCCGCCGGCAAGGAGUACGUCAGGCAGCUGGUCUACGUCGAGCAGUCGGGCUCCAGCCCCAAGAUGAAGACGGGGUUGAGGCAUAAAUAUUCCCCCAACCCCAUCGGCGGGUCCUACUCGCUACAGCACAGCCCCUGCCUGGUCCGGGACCAACGCUUGGACAUCAAAUCGGGUGAUUACAGCAGCAUGGAGGGACCCGACUUCUGCCCUGGCCCAACGGGUGGCCAGGUGGCCCAGGGUGAGGACUCCAUGUCGUGGUCCAGCCAACAGGACACCUUGUCCUCCACUGGUUACUCGCCCUCCACCAGAAAGAGGAAAAGCCGAAAACCUUCCCUAUCCCACGACCCAAACGCUUCCUCCACGGAUGGCUCAGGGGACCGGGAGGUGUUGGGCGAGCAGAUGCUGGGUGAGGAACGAGCCACCCCGGGACCCAACAGGUCACCGAUGAACCGUACGGAGAGCAAGGCGGUGGAGGCGGAGGCGGCGCGGGGCUUCCCCGAGCCCUUCCUGGCGCAGGCGCGUCUGGCUUGGGAAGCCCAGCAAGCCCACUACCACAUGAAGCAACGGAGCAGCUGGGACUCCCAAAAGGACGGUUCGGGCUACGAGAGCGACGGUGCCCUCCCGUUGCCCAUGCCGGGUCCGGUGGUGCGAGCCUUCAGUGAGGACGAGGCGUUGGCGCAGCAGGAGAACAAGCACUGGAAGAGGAACACCUUUGAGAAGUUGGGUUUCCCUCAGAUCUUGCUAGAGAAGAGCGUCUCCGUGCAGACCAACCUGGCCUCCCCCGAGCCAUACCUGCAUCCAUCUCAGUCAGAGGAUCUUGGUGCCUGCGCCCAGUUCGAGAGCAGCAGACAGACCAGGAACAUGAUGCCUAGCGCCAGCUGUGUCUUCCCCACCUUCAACCUGCGGAAGCCCUCCUCGGAGACGGACAUUGAGAACUGGGCCUCCAAGCACUUCAACAAGCACACCCAAGGGCUCUUCCGCAGGAAGGUGUCCAUCGCCAACAUGCUGGCCUGGAGCAGCGAGUCCAUCAAGAAACCCAUGAUCAUGACCAACGACCGCAACGUCAAGAAAGAGGCGUGCGAGAUAUUUAAACUCAUUCAGAUGUACAUGGGGGACCGGCGGGCCAAGACGGACCAACUCAACGUGGCCUUGGAGAUCGCCACCAAAGGCUGGAGCAUGCAGGGUCUGAGAGACGAGCUCUACAUCCAGCUGUGCCGACAGACCACCGAAAACUUCCGUUACGAGAGCCUGGCCCGGGGCUGGGAGCUCAUGGCCAUUUGUUUGGCCUUUUUCCCACCCACUCCUAAAUUUCAUUCCUACCUAGAAGGCUACAUCUACAGGCACAUGGAUCCGGUGAACGACACUAAAGUGACCCAGCACAUUCACGACAUCCUGGCCAGGAGCACUAAGAAGAAGCCCAAAUUGCGCAAGAAACCCAAGCCCCAUAGCGACCAGCACCAUGGGGUGGCCAUCAGCACCUACGCCAAGUACUGCUACAACAAGCUGCAGAAGGCGGCUCUGACGGGAGCCAAGAAGGGCCUGAAGAAGCCAAACAUUGAGGAGAUCCGCCACGCCAAGAACGCCGUCUUCAACCCUUCCAUGUUCGGCAGCAGCCUGCAGGACAUCAUCACCAUGCAGAAGGAGCGGUACCCUGACCGGCAGCUGCCCUGGGUGCAGACCCGCCUCUCCGAGGAGGUCCUGGCGCUCAACGGGGACCAGACCGAGGGGAUCUUCAGAGUCCCUGGUGACAUCGACGAGGUCAACGCCCUCAAGCUGCAGGUGGACCAGUGGAAGAUCCCCACCGGCUUGGAGGACCCCCAUGUUCCUGCCUCCCUGCUGAAGCUCUGGUACCGGGAGCUGGAGGAACCGUUGAUCCCCCACGAGUUCUACGAACAGUGCAUCACCCACUAUGAGAACCCCGAGGCCGCCAUCACCGUCGUCCACUCUCUGCCCAGGAUCAACAAAAUGGUGCUGUGCUACCUCAUCCGCUUCCUACAGGUCUUCGUGCAGCCAGCCAACGUGGCCGUCACCAAGAUGGACGUCAAUAACCUGGCCAUGGUGAUGGCCCCCAACUGCCUGCGCUGCCAAUCGGACGACCCGCGGAUCAUCUUCGAGAACACCCGCAAGGAGAUGUCCUUCAUCCGGGUGCUCAUCCAGCACCUCGACACCAGCUUCAUGGAGGGUGUCCUAUAGCGGCUGCCACCACCUGUCCCCUCCUGUCCCACCCCCCUCGCCCAAGGAGCACAAGCUGGACCCUGCAGAAGGAGGUGGCUUGUCCCACCAUCUCUGUCCCCUCCUGCCCGUCCUACAGCAGGACAUGGGACUGUUCUCCAAGCCCCAUCCCAACCAUCUCACUGCCCACCUGGUCACUGGCCAUGUUGGGGGCCACCCGGGGACGGCAGCACCCCCGGAGUGGGCGAGGAGCAUCCUGGGUGUCCCCUGUGGCCAUGGGUGACAGCGGGGACCUGGGGAGCAGGUGACAACGUGGAGGCUGGUCAGGGAUGUCUUCCUUGGGGUUGGGUCAGGCUACAGCAGAGAGCAGAGCCAUGGGGCCACCAUGGGGCCGGGAGAACCUCCAGGGCCAAGAGAAGCCACUAGUGAUGAGCACCUGGAGAACGUGGCAUAUGGGGGACCAGAGUGACAACCAUCCUGGUGGCAGAAGAGUCCCAGCUUGCGGGGAGGAGGACCAUGGGUGGGGCUGUGGGCACCCAGGAGUGGGUGCUGGGGGUCCCUCAGGAGCUGCCGUGUGGCUAGUUGACCACCCUUGGGUGCUGGAGGAGGCCACACGUGUCAUGGUGCCCGUCUCACAGCAGCAGGCAGGACACCAGACCCAUCUCACCACACUUUGGCACCACCAGGCCCCAAAGGACCUGUCUGAGCACCCACUAUGUUAGCUUGGGCCUGUGGGACCCAUCAGAGGACCCAUCAUCUACUCCUGGCCUUGGGAGACCCAUCCUGACACCAACCAUCUCUGCGUGGACCUGCUGGAGUCAUCUUGGUACCCGUCAUCUCCUCCUGGUCCUGCUGGACUCAUCCUAGCACCCAUCAUCUCCUGCUGGUCCUGCCCAACCCAACUUACAACCUCAAAUCUUUGCUUGGUCCUCCUGGACCCAUCUUGGUGUCCGUCAUCUCCUCCUAGUCCUGCUGGACUCAUCUUGAUGCCCGUCAUCUCCACUUCAUUUUGCCCAACUCAUCUUGGCACCCAUCAUCUCUUCCUGGUCCUGCUGGACCCAUCUUGGCACCCGUUAUCUCCCUCUGCUUCUCCUGGACCCGUUUUGGUGACCAUCAUCUCCUCCGGGUCCUACUGAACUCACCUUGGUGUCCAUCAUCCCUGCUUGUCCUUGCUGGACUGAUCUUGGUGCCUGUCAUUUCCUCAUUCUGCCCAACUCAUCUUGGCACCCAUCAUCUCUUCCUGGUCCUGCCCAACCCAUUUUGGUGCCCACCAUCUCCAGGUCCUACCCAUCCCAAUUGGUGUCCAUCAUCUCCAGGUCUGUCCAACAUAUCUUGGUGCCCACCAUUGCCUGAUUCUCCUGCCCAACCCAUCUUGGCACCCAUCUCCUCCAGGUCCUACCCAACCCAACUUGGUGCCCACCAUCUCUUGGUUCUCCUGCCUAACCCAUCUCCAGGUCCUGCCCAACCCAACUUGGUGCCCACAUCUUGGUCCUGUCCACCUCAUCUUGGUGCUCAUCAUCUCCAGGUUCUCCUACACCCACCUUGACAUCCAUCAUCUCCUCCUGCUUCUCCUGGACCCAUCUUGGCACCCAACAUCUCCAGGUCCUACCCAAUCCUGCUUGGUGCCCAUCAUGUCCUGGUUCUCCUGCCCAAACCAACUUGGUGCCCAUCAUCUCCAUGUCCUGCCCAACUCACCUUGGCACCAAACACCUCUUGAUUCUCCUGGGCACAUCUUGGUGCCCAUCAUCUCCUCUUGGCCCUGCCCAACCUAUCUAGGCAACCACCAUCACCAGGUCCUGCCCAAGCCAACUUGGUGCCAUCAUCUCCAGGUCCUGCCCAAUUUGUGUUGGCACCCACCAUCUCCAGGUUCUCUUGUCCAACCCAACUUGGUGCCCAUCAUCUCCAGAUCCUGCCUAACCCACCUUGGAACCCAUAAUCUCCAGACCCAUCUACCUAACUUGGUGCCCGUCAUCACCUGGUCUGGCCCAAUCCACUUUGGCACCCACCGUCUGCAAGUCCCACCUUCCCACCUUGGCCACCAUCAUCUCAUGUUCCCGUCCAACCCAACUUGGUGACCAUGAUUUCCUGGUUCUCCUGCCCAACCCACCUUGGUGCCCACCAACUCCAGGUCCUGCCCAACCCACCUUGGCACCCACCAUCUCCUGGGUCUCCUGACCAACCCAAUUUGGUGCCCAGCAUCUCCAGGUCCUGCACAACCCACCUGGGCACCCACCAUCUCCUGGGUCUCCUGACCAACCCAAUUUGGUGCCCAGCAUCUCCUGGUCCUCCCCAACCCAAAUUGGUACCCACAGCUUGGUCCUGCCCAACUCAUCUUGGUGCUCAUCAUCUCCAGGUUCUCCUGCACCCACCUUGACACCCACCAUCUUCUCAUGUUUCUCCCAGACCUAUCUUGGCACCCACCAACUGCAGGUCCUGCCCAACCCAACUUGGCACCCACCAUCUCCUGGUCAUGCCCAACCCAACUUGGUACCCGUCAUCUCCAGGUCCUGCCCAACCCUAUUUGGUACCCACCAUCUCCAGGUCCUGCCCAACCUGACUUGGUGCCAUCAUCUCGAGGUCCUUCCCAACCCAACUUGGUACCCACCAUCUCCAGGUCAUACCCAACCCAACUUGGUACCCACCAUCUCCAGGUCAUGCCCAACCCAACGUGGUGUCCAUCAUCUGGUUCUCCUGCCAAACCCACCAUCAACUCCAGGUCCUGCCCAACCCAACUUGGUACCCAUCAUCUCCAGGUCCUGCCCAACCCAACUUGGUACCCACCAUCUCCAGGUCCUACCCAACCCAACUUGGUACCCAUCAUCUCCAGGUCCUGCCCAACCCAACUUGGUACCCACCAACUCCAGGUCAUGCCCAACCCAACUUGGUACCCAUCAUCUCCAGGUCCUUCCCAACCCAACUUGGUACCCACCAUCUCCAGGUCCUGCCCAACCCAACGUGGUGUCCAUCAUCUGGUUCUCCUGCCUAACCCACCAUCAGCUCCAGGUCCUGCCCAACCCAACUUGGUACCCAUCAUCUCCAGGUCCUGCCCAACCAAUUUUGGCACCCAUCAUCUCCAGAUCCUGCCCAACCCAACUUGGUACCCACCAACUCCAGGUCAUGCCCAACCCAACUUGGUACCCAUCAUCUCCAGGUCCUUCCCAACCCAACUUGGUACCCACCAUCUCCAGGUCCUGCCCAACCCAACGUGGUGUCCAUCAUCUGGUUCUCCUGCCCAACCCACCAUCAGCUCCAGGUCCUGCCCAACCCAACUUGGUACCUGUCAUCUCAAGGUCAUGCCCAACCCAACUUAGUACCCACCAACUCCAGGUCCUGCCCAACCCAACUUGGUACCCACCAUCUCCAGGUCAUGCCCAACCCAACUUGGUACCCACCAUCUCCAGGUCAUGCCCAACCCAACGUGGUGUCCAUCAUCUGGUUCUCCUGCCCAACCCACCAUCAACUCCAGGUCCUGCCCAACCCAACUUGGUACCCAUCAUCUCCAGGUCCUUCCCAACCCAACUUGGUACCCACCUUCUCCAGGUCCUGCCCAACCCAACGUGGUGUCCAUCAUCUGGUUCUCCUGCCCAACCCACCAUCAACUCCAGGUCCUGCCCAACCCACCUUGGCACCCACCAUCUCCAGGUCCUGCCCAACCCAACUUGGUACCCAUCAUCUCCAGAUCCUGCCCAACCCAACUUGGUACCCGUCAUCUCCAGGUCCUUUCCAACCCAACUUGGUACCCACCAUCUCCAGGUCAUGCCCAACCCAACGUGGUGUCCAUCAUCUGGUUCUCCUGCCCAACCCACCAUCAGCUCCAGGUCCUGCCCAACCCAACUUGGUACCUGUCAUCUCCAGGUCCUACCCAACCCAACUUGGUACCCAUCAUCUCCAGGUCCUGCCCAACCCAACUUGGUACCCAUCAUCUCCAGGUCCUGCCCAACCCACCUUGGCACCCACCAUCUCCAGGUCCUGCCCAACCCAACUUGGUACCCAUCAUCUCCAGAUCCUGCCCAACCCAUUUUGGCACCCACCAUCUCCAGGUCCUACCCAACCCAACUUGGUACCCAUCAUCUCCAGGUCCUGCCCAACCCAUUUUUGGCACCCAUCAUCUCCAGGUCCUGCCCAACCCAACUUGGUACCCAUCAUCUCCGGGUCCUGCCCAACCCAACGUGGUGUCCAUCAUCUUGUUCUCCUGCCCAACCCACCAUCUCCAGGUCCUGCCCAUCCCAACUUGGUGCCCACCAUCUACAGGUUCUUCUGCCCAGCACCCCCGACAUCCACCAUCUCACGGUUCUCUUGGACCCCCCCUCACCCACCACCCACCCCAAGGUCCCCGCAGCAGCAGGACGUGCCCCCUCCACCCCCAUGGCCACCCCCCCAUGUGCCUUCGGGGUGACAAGGGACCUUGGGGGGCACCAGUGGGGGGAGCACCCAUCAGACCUUAUAGA